GUCGGCCGCUUAAGGAUGAAGCUGAAUAUCUCUUUCCCGGCCACUGGCUGCCAAAAACUCAUUGAAGUGGACAAUGAGCGAAAACUUCGUACAUUUUAUGAGAAAUACAUGGCCACAGAAGUUUCUGCUGACGCUCUGGGUGAAGAAUGGAAGGGUAAUGUGGUCCGAAUAAGUGGUGGGAACGACAAACAAGGAUUUCCCAUGAAGCAGGGUGUCUUGACCCAUGGCCGAGUCCGCCUGCUACUGAGUAAGGGGCAUUCCUGUUACAGACCAAGGAGGACUGGAGAAAGAAAGCGCAAAUCAGUUCGGGGUUGCAUUGUGGAUGCCAAUCUAAAUGUUCUCAAUUUGGUCAUCGCAAAAAAAAGGGGAGAAGGAUAUUCCUGGACUCACCGAUACUACUGUGCCUCGCUGCCUGGGGCCUAAAAGAGCUAGCAGAAUCCGAAAAAUUUCAGUCUCUCUAAGGAAGAUGAUGUCCGUCAGUAUGUAGUGAGAAAGCCCCUAAACAAAGAAGGUAAGAAACCUAGGACCAAAGCACCCAAGAUUCAGCGUCUUGUUACUCCGCGUGUUCUGCAACACAAACGUCGCCAUAUUGCUCUGAAGAAACAACGUACUAAGAAAAAUAAGGAAGAGGCUGCAGAAUAUGCUAAACUUUUGGCCAAGAGAAUGAAGGAGGCCAAAGAAAAAUGUCAGGACCAGAUUGCAAAGAGACGGAGGCUAUCCUCUCUGAGAGCAUCUACCUCUAAGUCUGAGUCCAGUCAAAAAUGAGAUGUUUUGAGAGUAACCAAUAAAUAACAUCAAAUCUUCCAAAAAAAAAAAA
Molecule: non-coding RNA, 817 nt
Organism: Sus scrofa (pig)
Lineage: Eukaryota; Metazoa; Chordata; Mammalia; Artiodactyla; Suidae
Source: RefSeq, a predicted model, not a curated record